GUAUCCGUCCUAUAUAUUGAUUUUCAUAUUAGUGAGUAAGUAGUACAAUGUCAUUGCAAUGAAGAAGUUGAUAAUAUUAUUGCAUAUAUGUAAGAAAGCAAAUGCAUCUGCUUUGUGUAUUACACAAAUUUCAACUUAUGCUCAUAUGAUAAUUCUCUUUUCGAACUUAAAAGGCUUCUCUAGAGAAAAUUGAGAGACAUGUUCUUCAAAUUGAUCACAAUAGCCAUGUUGCCAUUAAGAUUAGCCACCAAAAUGCUGUAGAAAACAUGACCAAGUGCCUCCACAUGAUUUUAUUGGAAUUGUUGAUUUUAAAAAUCCAAUUUAAAAACAAAACAUUGCUAUGUAAUCAUGAAAACCAAAGAAUUGAAAAAUAACAUCAAAUUUCUUUCCUUCUCUAAGUUCGUUCCUGCAAAACCAGGAAGAAAAAUAAUGUCUUACAUAAAAGAGAGGACACUUUGGCUAAAGCUCUUCAUUUACUGGACUCGGAAAAUUUGCUUACUACCAAAUUUAUUUAUCCCAAAAAUAAAAAGAAAAUACUUUUUGAUAUAGAAGCAUCAUCUAUUGACUACAAAUUUCAAGUAUUUCUUGGGAGUAACAAUGUCACACAAGUAGAUAUGAGAAUUAAGAUGGGCGUCUUCUCCUUAUCAGUUCUAAAAUAUUUCGAGUAGACUCCCUACAUGUGAUUACUUAGGUCAGAUGGUAAGUGUUGAAGCUCCUGUUAGUGUUCGCUCUUUAUCAGAGGUAUCAUGAGACAUAGAUACAAUUCUAAACCUAUUGAUAGAACAUAUAAAUUAUUACCCUGUAUUUUGUUUUUAAUAUAUAACCCGUCUCAUUUCAGCCUUCAAGUACCUUUCUUGUCCAUUUGUUUACCUCAAGUCAGUAACUCCAAAAUGGCAAGAGAACUUUUCAUUGUUAAUGAUAUCUUUGAUAGAGCAUUUUCUACUAACAGCUUGCUCAAACAUGUUGGUCACUUUCCAUGUUAAUGCAGUGAGCCUCAAGUCCAUUUCUCGUGAUUAUAGAUGCUAGAAUAACUAUAAUAUUCAGACGUUGAAGAGUCUAAAGACAUCUCGGAAGCAUUUGACAAAGAAGGGUUAUCCUCAUCCUAGAGAGAAAUCAGUAAGCAUGUUAACUUCAAGUCAUAUGUAUAAUAAGUAAUUACCGAGAAAUAAAAAAUGAUUCAGAAACAAUGAAUUACAUCAAGUGACUAAUAUGCUCUGCCUAUUAAAUUUGUAAGAUUUAAGCUCUAUCUGGUACACUAACUUUAAACUUUAAGUUACGGGACUUAGCACACAGGACCUUUGUUUGUUAUAGGGGAACCAUCUCUAUUAGUCAAGCUUGACAGUCACUACCUAACGUUUUUGGUAAAUAAAAAUUCAAUAUGUCCGAGAAUGAAAAUGAGGACAUAUUCAGCAGAAAGUUUGAAAGUUUAUUGAACCAAAAUAAAUGAUAACCCAAUUACUGCUUAAGGAUAGGGCAUACUUCAGGAAAGGUUGAGAGAAAUAGAAAACCUGAACUCCACAUGAAGUCCCAUUUCAUUAAAAUUCAUCACAUAUCAAAAGAUAGAGAUCAUGCCAAAUCAUAUUAACUUGUAUUGAUGAAUUGUUUAAGGUAAAUUUAAUAGUAGGCUAUGAUUUUAAACAUCCAAUGCAGAAAAAUACUUUAUAUAUCUGCAGAUAGACAUGAACAUAAUCUAAAGCAAAUACAUACAUAUUACAUAGAGUACAAAAGACAAUUGAUCUCGUGCUUCAAUCAUCUUAGGAAUAUCCUCAUGCUAAAGGGAAGAAAUUAUCACUAACAUGGUGCCUCCAUUAGUUGGAGGCACAAGUUAUUCCUAAGUUUAAAUAUCGAUUCAAAACUAUAAAAGAUACUUUGAACAAGAAAAAGAAAGAAGCAGUAAACCAGUGAAAGUGAAUUACCAACCUGACCAGCAAGUGAGAAUAGCAAGAUUCCCCUUGACCUCCUUGGGGAGUUGGCAGUUGAAUUCAUCAAAAGAAUAAA
This 1998-nucleotide long non-coding RNA is filed under the name Solanum tuberosum (potato). RNAcentral's name for it is "long non-coding RNA (STUB_LNC011401)". The record is from RNAcentral. Lineage: Eukaryota; Viridiplantae; Streptophyta; Magnoliopsida; Solanales; Solanaceae.